UGGGGAAUAUUGCACAAUGGGCGCAAGCCUGAUGCAGCAACGCCGCGUGAGGGAUGACGGCCUUCGGGUUGUAAACCUCUUUUAGCAGGGAAGAAGCGAAAGUGACGGUACCUGCAGAAAAAGCACCGGCUAACUACGUGCCAGCAGCCGCGGUAAUACGUAGGGUGCAAGCGUUGUCCGGAAUUAUUGGGCGUAAAGAGCUCGUAGGCGGUCUGUCGCGUCUGCUGUGAAAUCCCCGAGGCUCAACCUCGGGCCUGCAGUGGGUACGGGCAGACUAGAGUGCGGUAGGGGAGAAUGGAACUCCUGGUGUAGCGGUGGAAUGCGCAGAUAUCAGGAAGAACACCGAUGGCGAAGGCAGUUCUCUGGGCCGUAACUGACGCUGAGGAGCGAAAGCGUGGGGAGCGAACAGGAUUAGAUACCCUGGUAGUCCACGCCGUAAACGUUGGGCGCUAGAUGUGGGGACCAUUCCACGGUUUCCGUGUCGCAGCUAACGCAUUAAGCACCCCGCCUGGGGAGUACGGCCGCAAGGCUAAAACUCAAAUGAA
This 545-nucleotide ribosomal RNA is filed under the name uncultured bacterium. RNAcentral describes it as "partial 16S ribosomal RNA". It matches the Rfam family "Bacterial small subunit ribosomal RNA", at positions 355 to 909 of the family's 1533-position model. The record is from RNAcentral.